RNAcentral lists this ribosomal RNA (433 nucleotides) under uncultured bacterium. RNAcentral's name for it is "partial 16S ribosomal RNA". It matches the Rfam family "Bacterial small subunit ribosomal RNA", at positions 29 to 507 of the family's 1533-position model. The record is from RNAcentral.
AACGAACGCUGGCGGCAUGCCUAACACAUGCAAGUCGAACGAGACCUUCGGGUCUAGUGGCGCACGGGUGCGUAACGCGUGGGAACCUGCCCUUAGGUUCGGAAUAACUCCCCGAAAGGGGUGCUAAUACCGGAUAAUGUCUUCGGACCAAAGAUUUAUCGCCUUUGGAUGGGCCCGCGUUGGAUUAGCUAGUUGGUAGGGUAAAAGCCUACCAAGGCGACGAUCCAUAGCUGGUCUGAGAGGAUGAUCAGCCACACUGGGACUGAGACACGGCACAGACUCCUACGGGAGGCAGCAGUGGGGAAUAUUGGAAAAUGGGCGAAAGCCUGAAGCAGCAAUGACGCGAGAGUGAUGAAGGCGUUAGGGUUGUAAAGCUCUUUUACCCGGGAUGAUAAUGACAGUAACGGGAGAAUAAGCACCGGCUAACUACGUG